UACGGGGGGAGCAAGCGUUGUUCGGAUUUACUGGGCGUAAAGGGCGCGUAGGCGGCCACCGCAAGUCGACUGUGAAAUCUCCGGGCUUAACCCGGAAAGGUCAGCCGAUACUGCGGGGCUAGAGUGCAGAAGGGGCAACUGGAAUUCUCGGUGUAGCGGUGAAAUGCGUAGAUAUCGAGAGGAACACCUGCGGCGAAGGCGGGUUGCCGGGCUGACACUGACGCUGAUGUGCGAAAGCUAGGGGAGCGAACGGG
RNAcentral lists this ribosomal RNA (254 nucleotides) under uncultured bacterium. RNAcentral describes it as "partial 16S ribosomal RNA". It matches the Rfam family "Bacterial small subunit ribosomal RNA", at positions 524 to 776 of the family's 1533-position model. The record is from RNAcentral.